GACGAACGCUGGCGGCGUGCCUAAUACAUGCAAGUAGGACGCAGUAGCGAACGGGGGAGUAACGCGUAGGUAACUACCUAUUAGAGGGGGAUAACUAUUGGAAACGAUAGCUAAUACCGCAUACUAGUAGAUGGACCUGCGUUGUAUUAGCUAGUAGGUGGGGUAACGGCUCACCUAGGCUACGAUCCCUAGCUGGUCUGAGAGGAGGACCAUCCACACUGGAACUGGGACACGUUCCAGAGUCCUACGCGAGGCAGGAGUGGGGAAUCUUGCAAAAGGGGCGCCAGCCUGUGGCAGCCAUGCCGCGUGGAUGAAGAAGGCCUUCGGGUGGUACAGUACUUUCAGCGAGGAGGCGUUACUCGAAGGAGAGGCACCGGCUAACUCCGUGCCAGCAGCCGCGGUAAUAC
This 407-nucleotide ribosomal RNA is filed under the name uncultured bacterium. RNAcentral describes it as "partial 16S ribosomal RNA". It matches the Rfam family "Bacterial small subunit ribosomal RNA", at positions 28 to 526 of the family's 1533-position model. The record is from RNAcentral.